AGGGUUUGAUUAUGGCUCAGAACGUACGCUGGCGGCACGCCUAACACAUGCAAGUCGAACGAAGUAGCAAUACUUAGUGGCAGACGGGUGAGUAACAUGUAGGUAUCUACCCUUUGGCCUGGAAUAACACGAGGAAACUUGUGCUAAUACCGGAUAAGUCUUUACGGAGAAAGCUUUAUGCACCAUUGGAUGAGCCUGCACUUGAUUAGUUUGUUGGUGGGGUAAUGGCCUACCAAGACUGUGAUCAAUAGCUGAUUUGAGAGGAUGAUCAGCCACAUUGGGACUGAGACACGGCCCAAACUCCUACGGGAGGCAGCAGUGGGGAAUCUUGCACAAUGGAGGAAACUCUGAUGCAGCGAUGCCGCGUGAGUGAAGAAGGCCUUUGGGUUGUAAAGCUCUUUCGUCGGGGAAGAAAAUGACUGUACCCGAAUAAGAAGGUCCGGCUAACUUCGUGCCAGCCGCCGCGGUAAUAC
This 473-nucleotide ribosomal RNA is filed under the name uncultured bacterium. Its description in RNAcentral is "bacterial SSU rRNA". It matches the Rfam family "Bacterial small subunit ribosomal RNA", at positions 8 to 526 of the family's 1533-position model. The record is from RNAcentral.